This 30-nucleotide small nuclear RNA is filed under the name Arabidopsis thaliana (thale cress). Its description in RNAcentral is "snRNA_06851". Lineage: Eukaryota; Viridiplantae; Streptophyta; Magnoliopsida; Brassicales; Brassicaceae. The record is from RNAcentral.
GGGCCAUUUUUGGUAAGCAGAACUGGCGAU